Molecule: ribosomal RNA, 433 nt
Filed under: uncultured bacterium
Lineage: Bacteria
Description: partial 16S ribosomal RNA
Rfam family: Bacterial small subunit ribosomal RNA
Source: RNAcentral
AACGAACGCUGGCGGCAUGCCUAACACAUGCAAGUCGAACGAAAGCUGCGGGUCUAGUGGCGGACGCGUGCGUGACCCGGGGGGACAUGCCCUUGGGUUUGGCAUAACUCCCCGAAUGGGGUCCUAAUACGGGAUCAUAUAUCCGAACCAAAGAUUUGUCGCAUUUGGGUGGGCCCGCGUUGUAUUAGCUUGUUGGUAGUGUAAAAGCCUCCCACGGCGAGGAUCCGUAGCUGGUUAGUGAGGAUGAGCACCCACACUGGGACUGAGACACGGCCGAGAAUCUUACGGGAGGGAGCAGUGGGUAAUAUUGGACAAUGGGCGGAAGGAUGAUGGAGCAAUGCCGGGUGAGUGAUGAAGGCCGGGGGGUUGUAAAGCUCGUUUACCCGGGAUGAUAAUGACGGUACCGGGAGAAUAAGCACCGGCUAACUCCGUG